UAGGAUAAAGCUUUAUAAGCAUUUUAUUUACAUUAAAAAGAGAACUAUUUUUAAUAGUUAUUCUAA
RNAcentral lists this transfer RNA (66 nucleotides) under Stimulopalpus japonicus. RNAcentral describes it as "tRNA-Val". Lineage: Eukaryota; Metazoa; Arthropoda; Insecta; Psocodea; Amphientomidae. The record is from RNAcentral.